UACAGAGGGGGCGAGCGUUGUCCGGAAUCACUGGGCGUAAAGGGCGCGUAGGCGGCUUGGUAAGCGUGCGGUGAAAGCCCGGGGCUCAACCCCGGGUCGGCCGUGCGAACUGCUGGGCUGGAGCACUGUAGAGGCAGGUGGAAUUCCGGGUGUAGCGGUGGAAUGCGUAGAGAUCCGGAAGAACACCGGUGGCGAAGGCGGCCCGCUGGGCUGUUGCUGACGCUGAGGCGCGACAGCGUGGGGAGCAAACAGG
This 253-nucleotide ribosomal RNA is filed under the name uncultured bacterium. RNAcentral describes it as "partial 16S ribosomal RNA". It matches the Rfam family "Bacterial small subunit ribosomal RNA", at positions 524 to 776 of the family's 1533-position model. The record is from RNAcentral.